UCUCCGUUGGUGAACCAGCGGAGGGAUCAUUACCGAGUUUACAACUCCCAAACCCAAUGUGAACCAGACCAAACUGUUGCCUCGGCGGGGUCACGCCCCGGGUGCGUCGCAGCCCCGCAACCAGGCGCCCGCCGGAGGGACCAACCAAACUCUUUCUGUAGUCCCCUCGCGGACGUUAUUUUUACAGCUCUGAGCAAAAAUUCAAAAUGAAUCAAAACUUUCAACAACGGAUCUCUUGGUUCUG
Molecule: unclassified non-coding RNA, 244 nt
Filed under: plant metagenome
Description: partial contains small subunit ribosomal RNA, internal transcribed spacer 1, and 5.8S ribosomal RNA
Source: RNAcentral